UAACACGUGGGGAACCUGCCCCAUAGUCUGGGAUACCACUUGGAAACAGGUGCUAAUACCGGAUAAGAAAGCAGAUCGCAUUAUCAGCUUUUAAAAGGCGGCGUAAGCUGUCGCUAUGGGAUGGCCCCGCGGUGCAUUAGCUAGUUGGUAAGGUAAAGGCUUACCAAGGCGAUGAUGCAUAGCCGAGUUGAGAGACUGAUCGGCCACAUUGGGACUGAGACACGGCCCAAACUCCUACGGGAGGCAGCAGCC
This 252-nucleotide ribosomal RNA is filed under the name uncultured Lactobacillus sp. Its description in RNAcentral is "partial 16S ribosomal RNA". It matches the Rfam family "Bacterial small subunit ribosomal RNA", at positions 111 to 355 of the family's 1533-position model. Lineage: Bacteria; Bacillati; Bacillota; Bacilli; Lactobacillales; Lactobacillaceae. The record is from RNAcentral.